This 400-nucleotide ribosomal RNA is filed under the name Bacillus sp. RNBS3. Its description in RNAcentral is "bacterial SSU rRNA". It matches the Rfam family "Bacterial small subunit ribosomal RNA", at positions 39 to 418 of the family's 1533-position model. Lineage: Bacteria; Bacillati; Bacillota; Bacilli; Caryophanales; Bacillaceae. The record is from RNAcentral.
CUAGUCUUCAAGGGGCCCGUAAGACAUGCAUCGCGAGCGAAAGAAUUAAGAGCUUGCUCUUAUGAAGUUAGCGGCGGACGGGUGAGUAACACGUGGGUAACCUGCCCAUAAGACUGGGAUAACUCCGGGAAACCGGGGCUAAUACCGGAUAACAUUUUGAACCGCAUGGUUCGAAAUUGAAAGGCGGCUUCGGCUGUCACUUAUGGAUGGACCCGCGUCGCAUUAGCUAGUUGGUGAGGUAACGGCUCACCAAGGCAACGAUGCGUAGCCGACCUGAGAGGGUGAUCGGCCACACUGGGACUGAGACACGGCCCAGACUCCUACGGGAGGCAGCAGUAGGGAAUCUUCCGCAAUGGACGAAAGUCUGAGGGAGCAACGCCCCGUGAGUGAUGAAGGCUUU